AACUGUUCCCUGUAAAAGAUUGUGACAUCAUCACUAGAUAAGCUAAAUAACGGUUAGAUUUUGUUCAUUUGCAUACUGCAGCCCCAUUGGCCCUGGGGUGGCUUUAAUUUAUUCUACAUGCAAAUCAAAUACAAGAUAUGAAAAGGUCCAUAUUACUUCACAAACUCAUUCCAGCUUAUUACCAAAACCUACAAAACUGUAAAUAUCAAGCAGAGGUACAGCAUUUUGGCAACUGACUUGGUAAUUUUAGUGAACGGCACAUCUGCAGAUAAUUUUAAUCACAAUUUGAAAUUUCAUCUCCAUAGUCUCUUUUUUACACUGGCAUGAAAAUUUGAAGUUGAAUGGGGCACAGAUAUUAACUGAAAGGAAUAUUUCAGACUUCUUCCAACAAUGGCCUAUUCCAUUCCAUCAACAUUAUAUAUACCGACAAUCCCCUUUGGAGGAUUGAAGAUAUAGUUAUUUCAAGUUUACAGUUUACCUUCUGGAAGAACAGCAGGAAAAGAAGAGAAAGGAGACAGCAAUCACAGCUCCAACAUUUUUUAGCCUGUGCUGGCACGAAAAACAAAAAUAGAGGAAGUAUUUUCAGGCAAAUAAGAGGAAAGGAUCCAGAAAGAACAGCACACGAAGCUCCAAAAAUCCAGGAUUUGCUUAUGUUUAUGCAACCCAGGAGAGAAGUUUAUUUUAUCACUUUACACCCCAAGCCACUUUCUUUGGAUUGUUUUUUUUCUUUAACAGUAACCAUAAUGUUUGCUAGUAGGAAGAUUCAAUAAAAGCAAAUGGCUUGAAGAGA
Molecule: non-coding RNA, 790 nt
Organism: Pantherophis guttatus
Lineage: Eukaryota; Metazoa; Chordata; Lepidosauria; Squamata; Colubridae
Source: RefSeq, a predicted model, not a curated record